RNAcentral lists this ribosomal RNA (272 nucleotides) under uncultured bacterium. Its description in RNAcentral is "partial 16S ribosomal RNA". It matches the Rfam family "Bacterial small subunit ribosomal RNA", at positions 355 to 618 of the family's 1533-position model. The record is from RNAcentral.
UGGGGAAUCUUCCGCAAUGGGCGAAAGCCUGACGGAGCAACGCCGCGUGAGUGAAGACGGCCUUCGGGUUGUAAAGCUCUGUUAUAUGGGACGAACGGGCGUAUGGUCAAUACCCAUACGCCGUGACGGUACCGUAAGAGAAAGCCACGGCUAACUACGUGCCAGCAGCCGCGGUAAUACGUAGGUGGCAAGCGUUGUCCGGAAUCAUUGGGCGUAAAGGGCGCGCAGGCGGUUCGGUAAGUCGGUCUUAAAAGUGCGGGGCUUAACCCCGU